Molecule: ribosomal RNA, 460 nt
Filed under: uncultured bacterium
Lineage: Bacteria
Description: partial 16S ribosomal RNA
Rfam family: Bacterial small subunit ribosomal RNA
Source: RNAcentral
CCUACGGGAGGCAGCAGUGAGGAAUAUUGGUCAAUGGACGAGAGCCUGAACCAGCCAAGUAGCGUGAAGGAUGACUGCCCUAUGGGUUGUAAACUUCUUUUAUAUGGGAAUAAAAUGUUCCACGUGUGGGAUUUUGUAUGUACCAUAUGAAUAAGGAUCGGCUAACUCCGUGCCAGCAGCCGCGGUAAUACGGAGGAUCCGAGCGUUAUCCGGAUUUAUUGGGUUUAAAGGGAGCGUAGGUGGAUUGUUAAGUCAGUUGUGAAAGUUUGCGGCUCAACCGUAAAAUUGCAGUUGAUACUGGCAGUCUUGAGUACAGUAGAGGUGGGCGGAAUUCGUGGUGUAGCGGUGAAAUGCUUAGAUAUCACGAAGAACUCCGAUUGCGAAGGCAGCUCACUGGACUGCAACUGACACUGAGGCUCGAAAGUGUGGGUAUCAAACAGGAUUAGAUACCCCAGUAGUC